Molecule: long non-coding RNA, 802 nt
Filed under: Penaeus japonicus
Lineage: Eukaryota; Metazoa; Arthropoda; Malacostraca; Decapoda; Penaeidae
Description: uncharacterized LOC122265873
Source: RNAcentral
UCUUUCAUUAAGAAUUGAACAGAAUGAAAAUAUUUAUUAUGACUCUGGCUCGAUUACAUAUUUUCAACUUACAGAAGUAUGUGUUGUGCAAUGACAAUGUAAGAAUCGGUUACUGGGUCAGAAAAACGUGACCUAGAUAUUGAAUUUAAUGUUAAAAAUAUGUUUGGAAUUGGUAUUUGUUGAAGAGAUUAAUUUCUUGUGAAAAGAUAGUAAAAUCACACACACACACACACACAAAAAAGGAAUUUCAUACCCAAUUCUUACCUGUUUUGUUCUAUUUUUAGUAUAAGAGGAAGACCACUAUGUAACGUUUAACGGGAAGACGGAAAAAGUGAUUCUGAUGCAUUGCCAUAUUCAUGACAUAUUUAUAUUUUUAUCCCUUCUACUUCAAACAACUUCAAACUUUUAUUUCACAAAGCACACAUAUUUUACCACACACACACACACCUUCACAUAUCAAAACUUUUGCAAAACUACUAGAGAAGGGAAACAUGUCAAUAUUUAGAAACUGGCAACUGUUGUAGAAUGUAUAUUAAACCUGUCUCGAGGUCUCUGCCCUCAGUUUCCCUCGAACAUUCGGUGUUCUUGAAGAUUAAAAGGUGAAAAAUGAAGACGAGUGUUAUCCUCACCGUGUGCUUGUUGUUGUUUGUGUCCGCAAUGGUUUCAGCCAUGGGAACGCGAGAUUGUCCUUCCGUGUGCACCAAGAGAUGCCAGCCCGUGUGUGGAACCGAUGGGAGGACAUACAACAACCCUUGUCUCCUCCGAAGGAAAAAGUGCACAAGGAAAGAGAGUCUUAAGGUCU